RNAcentral lists this small RNA (24 nucleotides) under Bombyx mori (domestic silkworm). RNAcentral's name for it is "ovarian small RNA-27684". The record is from RNAcentral. Lineage: Eukaryota; Metazoa; Arthropoda; Insecta; Lepidoptera; Bombycidae.
UCCUAAUGUUGAGAUGCGGGCGGC